RNAcentral lists this ribosomal RNA (468 nucleotides) under uncultured bacterium. Its description in RNAcentral is "partial 16S ribosomal RNA". It matches the Rfam family "Bacterial small subunit ribosomal RNA", at positions 28 to 507 of the family's 1533-position model. The record is from RNAcentral.
GACGAACGCUGGCGGCGUGCUUAACACAUGCAAGUCGAACGGAAAGGCCCUGCUUUUGUGGUGUGCUCGAGUGGCGAACGGGUGAGUAACACGUGAGUAACCUGCCCUUGACUUUGGGAUAACUUCAGGAAACUGGGGCUAAUACCGGAUAUGAGCUCCUGCUGCAUGGUGGGGGUUGGAAAGUUUCGGCGGUUGGGGAUGGACUCGCGGCUUAUCAGCUUGUUGGUGGGGUAGUGGCUUACCAAGGCUUUGACGGGUAGCCGGCCUGAGAGGGUGACCGGCAACAUUGGGACUGAGAUACGGCCCAGACUCAUACGGGAGGCAGCAGUGGAGAAUAUUGCACAAUGGGCGGAAGCCUGAUGCAGCAACGCCGCGUGCGGGAUGACGGCCUUCGGGUUGUAAACCGCUUUCGCCUGUGAAGAAGAGUGAGUGACGGUAAUGGGUAAAGAAGCACCGGCUAACUACGUG